RNAcentral lists this ribosomal RNA (468 nucleotides) under uncultured bacterium. Its description in RNAcentral is "partial 16S ribosomal RNA". It matches the Rfam family "Bacterial small subunit ribosomal RNA", at positions 28 to 507 of the family's 1533-position model. The record is from RNAcentral.
GACGAACGCUGGCGGCGUGCUUAACACAUGCAAGUCGAACGGAAAGGCCCUGCUUUUGUGGGGUGCUCGAGUGGCGAACGGGUGAGUAACACGUGAGUAACCUGCCCUUGACUUUGGGAUAACUUCAGGAAACUGGGGCUCAUACCGGAUAGGAGCUCCUGCUGCAUGUUGGUGGUUGGAAAGUUUCGGCGGUUGGGGCUGGACUCGCGGCUUAUCAGCUUGUUGGUGUGGUAGUGGCUUACAAAGGCUUUGACGGGUAGCCGGCCUGAGAGGGUGACCGGCCACAUUGGGACUGAGAGACGGCCCAGACUCCUACGGGAGGCAGCAGUGGGGAAUAUUGCACAAUGGGCGGAAGCCUGAUGCAGCAACGCCGCGUGCGGGAUGACGGCCUUCGGGUUGUAAACCGCUUUCGCCUGUGACGAAGCGUGAGUGACGGUAAUGGGUAAAGAAGCACCGGCUAACUACGUG